Mandrillus leucophaeus (drill) is the source of this 654-nucleotide long non-coding RNA. RefSeq lists it as uncharacterized. The transcript has 3 exons. Lineage: Eukaryota; Metazoa; Chordata; Mammalia; Primates; Cercopithecidae. The record is from RefSeq and is a predicted model, not a curated record.
UUUUCAGCAUUCCCCUACUGUUUUGGGAAACGUCAUAUUCUUAUCUUGGAAGAGUAAUCUCAAAAUUGAAGCAUCUUAGAGCCAACAAGAAUUAAAAGGAUGGGAUGUCCUUGCAUAGAGGUCCAAUAGAGUCAGAAGACUUUGGGUUUUGGAGUCUGAGAGAUGAUGUACUCACAUCCCAACAAACUGAAAAUGCUGACCAGUCCCAGCACAGCCAACUUGAAUUUGCUCCUCUAUCAAAGUGCCCAGCACCUCAUUUCUUCCUCUUUAGAAUUUAUAGAGGCUUAUGGCUAUUGAUACUCAGCAUCCUGGCUUCACUCACAUGGAUGAGCCCCAGCUGGAAUGCCUAGAAGACAUGGGACAGCUGGAUCUCUCUCCACACGGUUUUUCAUUGUUGCCUCAGGUUCUAAUAAAAGCAAAAGCUGCAAGGUCCUCUGAGGCAAAGACUUAGAAAUACCACAGUGUUACUUCUGCUGCAUUCCGUUGAUCAAAAAUCCCACAAUGCCAACUUCAUUUAAAGAGGUAAAGAUACAGAUUUUUUCACCUUCGAUGGGAGGAACUGCAAAUGAUGUAGUUUGUGAUAAUUUUUAAUAUACUGUAAGUAUUGACUUGUCUUUAAAAAAUGAAAACAUGAACCAAAAAUUAAAAGCAAAA